This 172-nucleotide ribosomal RNA is filed under the name uncultured bacterium. RNAcentral's name for it is "partial 16S ribosomal RNA". It matches the Rfam family "Bacterial small subunit ribosomal RNA", at positions 335 to 524 of the family's 1533-position model. The record is from RNAcentral.
ACUCCUACGGGAGGCAGCAGUGGGGAAUAUUGGGCAAUGGGCGAAAGCCUGAUCCAGCAAUGCCGCGUGAGUGAUGAAGGCCUUAGGGUUGUAAAGCUCUUUUACCCGGGAUGAUAAUGACAGUACCGGGAGAAUAAGCUCCGGCUAACUCCGUGCCAGCAGCCGCGGUAAU